Myotis brandtii (Brandt's bat) is the source of this 89-nucleotide non-coding RNA. NCBI's taxonomy places the organism in Eukaryota, Metazoa, Chordata, Mammalia, Chiroptera, Vespertilionidae. The record is from Rfam.
AGAGGCCCAUCCGUGGCCAGGCGCAGAAUGCUUGCCUCUUCACUGGGGCGACGAAGCAAGCAUUCCGCCAGGCCGCUCACACUGCCUGC